This is a non-coding RNA of Nematostella vectensis (starlet sea anemone), 45 nucleotides long. NCBI's taxonomy places the organism in Eukaryota, Metazoa, Cnidaria, Anthozoa, Actiniaria, Edwardsiidae. The record is from Rfam.
CAAACGGUUCUUUUAGGAACCACCACAUCGCACAAAAGUUCAAUG